UCCAAUUCAAUGACGGGGAAGAAGGUAGAUCAUAAUUGUGCAGCGAGCCGGGUCAGGUGCAAGCCGGCCAAGGAGACUACCGGGCCGCCCCCGAGUUGCCAGCCGAAAAAAGUAAGCUUGGCCGGUUCUUCACCGUUAAAGAAGCCCAAGCGGGUUGCGCUAAUUCACCGGUGCAGCCAAUUAGGGUGGUACCACGGAUGCGAAACCUCCGUCCCUUAC
Molecule: non-coding RNA, 219 nt
Filed under: Desulfotomaculum nigrificans
Lineage: Bacteria; Bacillati; Bacillota; Clostridia; Eubacteriales; Desulfotomaculaceae
Description: T-box sequence
Rfam family: T-box leader
About the family: Uncharged tRNA acts as the effector for transcription antitermination of genes in the T-box leader family. T-boxes are found upstream of many aminoacyl-tRNA synthetase genes and some amino acid biosynthetic genes usually in Gram-positive bacteria.
Source: RNAcentral